This 443-nucleotide ribosomal RNA is filed under the name uncultured bacterium. RNAcentral describes it as "partial 16S ribosomal RNA". It matches the Rfam family "Bacterial small subunit ribosomal RNA", at positions 338 to 795 of the family's 1533-position model. The record is from RNAcentral.
CCUACGGGAGGCAGCAGUGGGGAAUAUUGGGCAAUGGAGGAAACUCUGACCCAGCCAUGCCGCGUGAAUGAUGAAGGUCUUCGGAUUGUAAAGUUCUUUUCUAAGGGACGAAGAGAGUGACGGUACCUUAGGAAUAAGCCUCGGCUAACUGCGUGCCAGCAGCCGCGGUAAUACGUAGGAGGCAAGCGUUAUCCGGAAUGACUGGGCGUAAAGGGUGCGUAGGUGGUUUGAUAAGUUGGUAGCGUAACUCCGAGGCUCAACCUCGGCACUACUACCAAUACUGUCGGACUUGAGUGCAGGAGGGGCAACUGGAAUUCCUGGUGUAGCGGUGGAAUGCGUAGAGAUUAGGAGGAACACCAGUGGCGAAGGCGAGUUGCUGGACUGUAACUGACACUGAGGUACGAAAGCGUGGGGAGCAAACAGGAUUAGAUACCCGAGUAGUC